RNAcentral lists this small nucleolar RNA (138 nucleotides) under Ornithorhynchus anatinus (platypus). The record is from RNAcentral. Lineage: Eukaryota; Metazoa; Chordata; Mammalia; Monotremata; Ornithorhynchidae.
GUCCUCUCGGGGUCACACCUGGAGUGUUUUCAGUACUCUACCAGUCUCGGCUACGGGAGGGAGAGUCAAGCAGAAGCCUACCCAUUCCAUUCCUAGCUUGGGCAGUGGCUAGCCAGUGGAAGGCAGUCGGCUACAAGU